RNAcentral lists this microRNA (22 nucleotides) under Dasypus novemcinctus (nine-banded armadillo). RNAcentral's name for it is "dno-miR-3959-3p". Lineage: Eukaryota; Metazoa; Chordata; Mammalia; Cingulata; Dasypodidae. RNAcentral also lists the same sequence under 10 other names. The record is from miRBase by way of RNAcentral.
UGUAUGUCAACUGAUCCACAGU